Pararge aegeria (speckled wood butterfly) is the source of this 2298-nucleotide long non-coding RNA. RefSeq lists it as uncharacterized. The transcript is spliced from 5 exons. NCBI's taxonomy places the organism in Eukaryota, Metazoa, Arthropoda, Insecta, Lepidoptera, Nymphalidae. The record is from RefSeq and is a predicted model, not a curated record.
UAUGUUUGUUUAUGGAGGGUAGAUAGUUUUGUUUAUAUGUCUUGUUUUUCUCAUCGAACCCGUACAAAAUCACUUUAUAUUAUAUAACAUUUUUAUACCCGUCAAUCACACUAUAAAAGUAACCCGGCUGCCAUAAACAAAAGGUGAAGUUGAAUUUAAUAUGAAAUUAAUUAAUUGAGGAAAAGAAAAAAGUAAAGUAUGGUGUUGGAAAGUAACAAAAUGGGAAUAGAUGAUUUAUAAGGGAAAUAUUGUUGUGACGGAACAAGAGUCGUAUAUACUGGUGAUGGAGUUGUGAUAAGUUGUUGAUACCGUGUUGGUACAUGAUGUUGCUAUAAGCUAAUGAGUCGAGUUGGUACGAUCGCAGUGCAGACGAUGACAUCCUACAAGAUUUCAGCGCAAUGGAGGAGACCCCCCUUCUUUAGACAGUACCCCACCAAAAAUUUGGACACAACGUGGAAAACAUUCAGCCACCAGUGGAAGAAAUACCAAUUCGCCUCGUCAAUGGAUCAGAAUGGGAUCAGUCAGACUAACUAGUGCUUUCUACACAGCUGUUCCACGCAGAAACUGUCGUAAUAGAACAGACUGACACCAGGGAGUGAGAGAAAUUGGAUUCUUGCGUUCUGCUUUUAAGGGAAAUAAAGGCAACUUUUAGUGUGAGCGACUCUUUAACAUAUAACUUCCUGGUAUCAAGCGACGGGACUGCGUACGAAGCCAGCCCUUCUACCCCGAAUUAUCCCCUUUAGUGUUAACGUUCUUGGGUAUACUAGAACGACCAUCUUGCUGGGUUUUCAUAUAGGACCAAAAUGACUUGCGAUUUUUCAAGAUAGAAUGCUUAACAUUGGUCUUGUAGCAAGAGAAACAUUUAUCUAAGAGUUUCGGAACGUUUAUUAAGUAUGUCGUAUUCAAAUUUGUCACGAGGAUUGUGGUAUAUUUUAAAUAUUUUCCUUACUUUUUCUUUUUCAUUCAGUAGUUUAAUCGACACCUCACCACAACACCUACACCUUUAAUCUGGCCCUCGAGUACCAAGAUGGAUAAUUGCUCAUGAUUCUCUGUUUAGGUGGAAUGAAUGAGUUAAUUAUCUUAUCUAAUUCAUAGUAAAAUAUGUUCACCAUACCGUCAACAUUGUCGCAUGAUUCAAACAACCCAAACCAGUAAACACUCUUUAACCUAUCGUUUAUGACAGAAUAGUCAGCAUAUUUAAAAUUACGAGUAGAGAAUUUGCGAGUCUUUAACAGCGCUGCACUGUCAAAUUUACAUUCAAUCUCCAGAGGUGGUUGAUGGUCAUCGUCAAUGCUUUGUAAAACAAUCGAACCUGCAAAAUUACUAAACACAAGGUCAAAAACUUUGUCGUUUUUGUUUCUAACAUUACAUAAUUGCAAUAAAUUAUUAGAAGACAUAAAAUCCACCAACAAGUAACCAAGAUUGCAAUGAUAUCUAUUCGGAUCGUAAUGACGAUAAGUAUCGUCAUCAUUACGAGACCAAUAAAUAAAACUUAGAUUAAAGUCACCGAGGACCAGAGUGUCAACUCUGGUUUUGUCCAUUACAUCACUAACAUUAUUGAAAAAGUUCGUUAUAUAGUUACCAGACACCUGUCUCCUGAUCUUGCACAUAAACCGCACAAAUAAUUAAAGUUCGGAAGUUGUGCUCAAUCUUGACUUUUAUAGAAACCCAUAUAUCCUCACAAGAGCUAUUCCAUUUGCUAUGACCUCUAGACUCGUGCGAUUUCAGCACAACAAUAAUUACUUCACCAGCUUCUUUCCCGGAAAGGUGGGUAUCACUGCGAUUCUUCUAUAAAUUGAAUAAUUUGAGUGAAAGAUUUCACUGUCUUUUAUAUUAUCGGUUAACCAGGUCUCUGUUGCAACUAUAACAUCGAAAGUAUUAAUUAGACAAGCUAUGUUAAUGUCAUACAAUUUAGUUCGCAUACCGCGAAAAUUUUGGUAGUAGAUCUUAAAGGAGGUUAAAUCUUAAAUAUGCGGUCUAACAUUAGGUAAAAAUAAAAGAAUUAAAUACUAGAGAAAGAACAAUCAGCUAGGUUAUGUACUUCAGUGACUCCUUGUUCUUUAUUUGUUUCACCGGUGAUGUGUCAUUCUUCCGGAUGAAAAUUCGUCCAUUUCUUAUCCAAGGAAAAUGGACGAAAGAAGUACCUUAGUAUCUUUUUAAAUAAUUCAAAGACUUUCCUCGGUGGAAAGAAGAAUAAACGGUUUGCGUUGCUCUCUAUAAUUUCAAUAACACUUUAUUAAGACAAUUGAGUGUUAAUAAAGGAGAUAAAAACUUAACAUUUUUAUAAACAUAAAAUUA